Long non-coding RNA from Mus musculus (house mouse), 382 nucleotides. RefSeq annotates it as predicted gene, 52093. NCBI's taxonomy places the organism in Eukaryota, Metazoa, Chordata, Mammalia, Rodentia, Muridae. The record is from RefSeq and is a predicted model, not a curated record. The transcript is spliced from 3 exons.
ACAUCCUGCAGGAGAAGGUGCCUGAUAAAUCCUACUGAGGUAUCAACAAAACAGACUAAAGGUUGUCACUUGAAGCCAUAGCUUUGUGGUCCCUGCGGAAGUGGAAGAGGCUCCAUUGAAGAUGUCCAUGAUGUGCGGACACAGAUGACAUUUGUAUUCAUGUCAUUACUCAGAGGAUCACAUCCUUCGGCUUCCCCUUGGUGGGGACCUCAGGGAAGAAAGUCCUUCAAAGAGGCCAUCUGUUCCCAAGAUCAAGACUGACAGCCCAAGAGGGAGAUUCUGGUGAUGGGAGAAGAGGUUAUGUGGAGAUGCCUUUGUGGAGCUGAGACGGAGAUCAAAGGAAGGGACAAAGGAGCCUCCUGAAUCCUUCGGGUAUAGGAGA